GUGUUGUUUGAAAAGAGAGAAGAUUAGCACUCCCCUUGCGCAGGAUCGAAGAGGUCCUAGUGGCCUUUCCACCACAUGAGAAGUAGUACGGCCUAAU
This 97-nucleotide small nuclear RNA is filed under the name Ornithorhynchus anatinus (platypus). The record is from RNAcentral. Lineage: Eukaryota; Metazoa; Chordata; Mammalia; Monotremata; Ornithorhynchidae.